Molecule: transfer RNA, 66 nt
Filed under: Nudobius lentus
Lineage: Eukaryota; Metazoa; Arthropoda; Insecta; Coleoptera; Staphylinidae
Description: tRNA-His
Source: RNAcentral
AUUUAAAUAGUUUAAAAAUAAAAUAUUGAUUUGUGGAAUCAAAGAUAUAAAGAUUUAUUUUAAAUA